AUGCUCGUUUCGGCAGCACAUAUAGUAAAAUUGGAAAGAUACAGAGAAGAUUAGCAUGGCUCCUGCAAAAGGAUGACACGCAAAUUUGUGAAGCAUUCCAUAUUUAU
Callithrix jacchus (white-tufted-ear marmoset) is the source of this 107-nucleotide small nuclear RNA. Lineage: Eukaryota; Metazoa; Chordata; Mammalia; Primates; Cebidae. The record is from Ensembl.